Molecule: ribosomal RNA, 89 nt
Filed under: Klebsiella pneumoniae
Lineage: Bacteria; Pseudomonadati; Pseudomonadota; Gammaproteobacteria; Enterobacterales; Enterobacteriaceae
Description: partial 23S ribosomal RNA
Rfam family: Bacterial large subunit ribosomal RNA (bases 1-77)
Source: RNAcentral
GACGUAGAUAGGCCGGGUGUGUAAGCGCAGCGAUGCGUUGAGCUAACCGGUACUAAUGAACCGUGAGGCUUAACCUUACAACGCCGAAG